CAAAGCACUUUGAAGAGAGAGUUAAAGAGGACGUGAAACUGGCACGAUGGAAACGGAUAGAGCUAGCGAACUCGUCUGUAUUCAGCCAACGGUCCUGGGUUCGGUUCUGUUGUGCUUCAGUCGCUGUGCAUGCAGGAUUGAGCGCCUGGGAUCUAAGGUGCAUUUGCGGACGAUUGCGCUGAGACUUGUGGGACAGCGGUAGGACCCAGUUCAUGAGGCAACCUUUUGGUUGUACCCUGGGCUAGCAUACGACUGUUUGUCCUGCUCGUAUUUUUGGUUCGGGCAUCUAGUGAAGCUGCAGCUGGUGUGCUCUCGUGGUGGCAAUAGCACGCUUUGCCUAACUUGGGCGUUCCGGUUGCUGUGUAGCUCACGAACUACCUCUCGGUGUAAAAGCUGGUCAUCUAUCCGACCCGUCUUGAAACACGGACCAAGGAGUUUAGCGUAUGUGCGAGCCGCUGGGUAUUGUAAAACCUAUGGGCACAAUGAAAGUGAAGGCUCGGUUGCCGAGCUUACAUGCGACCGUGCUGGUCUCGGCCAGUGCGGGCAGCAUGGUCCCGUUUCAGUCGCUUGCGAUGGAGCGGAGACAGAGUGCAUGCGCUGAGACCCGAAAGAUGGUGAACUAUUCCUGAGCAGGACGAAGCCAGAGG
Molecule: ribosomal RNA, 647 nt
Filed under: Tylenchulus musicola
Lineage: Eukaryota; Metazoa; Nematoda; Chromadorea; Rhabditida; Tylenchulidae
Description: eukaryotic LSU rRNA
Rfam family: Eukaryotic large subunit ribosomal RNA
Source: RNAcentral